Molecule: ribosomal RNA, 491 nt
Filed under: uncultured bacterium
Lineage: Bacteria
Description: partial 16S ribosomal RNA
Rfam family: Bacterial small subunit ribosomal RNA
Source: RNAcentral
GUGAACGCUGGCGGUAGGCCUAACCCCUGCAAGUCGAACGGCAGCACAGUAAGAGCUUGCUCUUACGGGUGGCGCGUGGCGGACGGGUGAGGAAUACAUCGGAAUCUACUUUUUCGUGGGGGAUAACGUAGGGAAACUUACGCUAAUACCGCAUACGACCUACGGGUGAAAGCAGGGGAUCUUCGGACCUUGCGCGAUUGAAUGAGCCGAUGUCGGAUUAGCUAGUUGGCGGGGUAAAGGCCCACCAAGGCGACGAUCCGUAGCUGGUCUGAGAGGAUGAUCAGCCACACUGGAACUGAGACACGGUCCAGACUCCUACGGGAGGCAGCAGUGGGGAAUAUUGGACAAUGGGCGCAAGCCUGAUCCAGCCAUACCGCGUGGGUGAAGAAGGCCUUCGGGUUGUAAAGCCCUUUUGUUGGGAAAGAAAAGCAGCAGGUUAAUACCCCGCUGUUCUGACGGUACCCAAAGAAUAAGCACCGGCUAACUUCGUG